This 809-nucleotide ribosomal RNA is filed under the name unidentified archaeon. Its description in RNAcentral is "bacterial SSU rRNA". It matches the Rfam family "Archaeal small subunit ribosomal RNA", at positions 1 to 816 of the family's 1478-position model. The record is from RNAcentral.
UCCGGUUGAUCCUGCCAGAGGUUACUGCUAUCGAGGUUCGACUAAGCCAUGCGAGUCGAAUGUAGCAAUACAUGGCGUACUGCUCAGUAACACGUGGACAACCUGCCCCUAGGUUGGGUAUAAACCCGGGAAACUGGGUAUAAUCCCCUAUAAGUCUCGGCUGCUGGAAUGCACCGAGAUUAAAAGCUCCGGCGCCUAAGGAUGGGUCUGCGGCCUAUCAGGUAGUAGUGGGUGUAGCGUACCUACUAGCCUACGACGGGUACGGGUUGUGAGAGCAAGAGCCCGGAGAUGGAUUCUGAGACACGAAUCCAGGCCCUACGGGGUGCAGCAGGCGCGAAAACUUUACAAUGCUGGCAACAGCGAUAAGGGAACCUCGAGUGCCAGGUUACAAAUCUGGCUGUCGAGAUGCCUAAAAAGCAUUUCAUAGCAAGGGCCGGGCAAGACCGGUGCCAGCCGCCGCGGGUAACACCGGCGGCUCGAGUGGUAACCGUUAUUAUUGGGUCUAAAGGGUCUGUAGCCGGCCGGAUAAGUCUCUUGAGAAAUCUGGCAGCUUAACUGUCAGGCUUUCAGGAGAUACUGUCUGGCUCGAGGCCGGGAGAGGUGAGAGGUACUUCAGGGGUAGGGGUGAAAUCUUGUAAUCCUUGAAGGACCACCAGUGGCGAAGGCGUCUCACCAGAACGGACCUGACGGCAAGGGACGAAAGCUAGGGGCACGAACCGGAUUAGAUACCCGGGUAGUCCUAGCCGUAAACGAUACUCGCUAGGUGUCGGCCACGGUGCGACCGUUGUCGGUGCCGUAGGGAAGCCGUG